Molecule: long non-coding RNA, 221 nt
Filed under: Elaeis guineensis (African oil palm)
Lineage: Eukaryota; Viridiplantae; Streptophyta; Magnoliopsida; Arecales; Arecaceae
Description: long non-coding RNA (EGUI_LNC031298)
Source: RNAcentral
GCCAAUAAUAUCCUUGCUAAAGGAUCUUGUAGGAUCGUGACUUACCCUCCAAGUGGUUGCUGUAAAUGCUCUCAUGUACCUUCCGAAGAUCAUAGUCGGUAAGUGUCUGAGCCUUCAUCGAAGAUCGAGGAAUAUAAGAAAGAUCGAACUCACUAAGUUCGACCGUUCAUUUGGCCAUUCUCCUCAAAGUAUCAGGCCAUUGAAGAAGAGUUCUCAGGGGG